AUGUCGCUCUGAGUACUAUAUAAUAGGUUGAAAACUCUCAACAAACGCGGAUCUCUUGGUUCUGGAAUCGAUGAAGAACGCAGCGAAAUGCGAUAAGUUAAUGUGAAUUGCAGUAUUCAGUGUAUCAUCGAAUCCUGGAAACCACAAUGCACACCAUGGUAUUCC
Molecule: ribosomal RNA, 165 nt
Filed under: Sclerotinia sclerotiorum
Lineage: Eukaryota; Fungi; Ascomycota; Leotiomycetes; Helotiales; Sclerotiniaceae
Description: 5.8S ribosomal RNA
Rfam family: 5.8S ribosomal RNA (bases 33-165)
About the family: 5.8S ribosomal RNA (5.8S rRNA) is a component of the large subunit of the eukaryotic ribosome. It is transcribed by RNA polymerase I as part of the 45S precursor that also contains 18S and 28S rRNA.
Source: RNAcentral